AGCGAACGCUGGCGGCGUGCCUAACACAUGCAAGUCGAACGUGAACGGGGGCAACCCUUAGUAAAGUAGCGUACGGGUGAGUAACACGUAGGUAAUCUACCCUAGAGUCUGGAAUAACCGGCCGAAAGGCUGGCUAAUACUGGAUAGAGCGACGGAACUCGUAAAGAGUUUUUCGGGAAAGGGAGCUCGCAAGAGCCCUCGCUUUAGGAUGAGCCUGCGUCCCAUCAGGUAGUUGGUAGGGUAAUGGCCUACCAAGCCUUUGACGGGUAGCUGGUCUGAGAGGAUGAUCAGCCACACUGGAACUGAAACACGGUCCAGACUCCUACGGGAGGCAGCAGUGGGGAAUCUUGCGCAAUGGGCGAAAGCCUGACGCAGCCACGCCGCGUGAGUGAAGAAGGCCUUCGGGUUGUAAAGCUCUGUCGGGAGGGACGAACAUCAUUGGUGUUAACAGCGCCAGUGACUGACGGUACCUCCAAAGGAAGCACCGGCUAACUUCGUGCCAGCAGCCGCCGUAA
Molecule: ribosomal RNA, 515 nt
Filed under: uncultured bacterium
Lineage: Bacteria
Description: partial 16S ribosomal RNA
Rfam family: Bacterial small subunit ribosomal RNA
Source: RNAcentral